Drosophila montana is the source of this 499-nucleotide long non-coding RNA. RefSeq lists it as uncharacterized. The record is from RefSeq and is a predicted model, not a curated record. The transcript is spliced from 2 exons. NCBI's taxonomy places the organism in Eukaryota, Metazoa, Arthropoda, Insecta, Diptera, Drosophilidae.
CGAGGCGUUUGGUGUGCUGUUGUUGUUUUUUAUGCAUCCGUGGACUUUUUGGGCUAUUGGUGGCAGUUCGGGGAUGAGACCUCUAGUUCUAUAAUCAACAAUCUACCCACCGAUGAAACCGUUCACAAUAGCCAUAUUUUAUAGCUACGCGCUGCAGUUACCAUUGAGAUAAUCUGGCGCUGCUAUAUGAAGCCUAGACUUAUGGCGAAUGCCACCAAAUCGGUAGAGUAUCUAUUGCGCAUGGUCAUGGUAGUUGCCUUCGUUCUUUGUGCCAUUGCAUAUCCAGAUUUUGGUCUACUACUCUCCUUCGUGGGAUCCUUCUGUCUGGCUCAGCUGAGAUUUAUUUAUCCAUUUAUUUAUCCAAAUAUGACAAUCAAAUCUUAUUUUUUCUAAGUGCUUUUCACAUAACCACAUAAAAUGUGAUUUUGUAUAUUCCAAAAUUUAUAAAACUUUUCCAAAAAUGUUGGUUAUUAAAAAAUCAUAUUUAAAUCCUGGAAAA